RNAcentral lists this unclassified non-coding RNA (509 nucleotides) under Hevea brasiliensis (rubber tree). The record is from RNAcentral. Lineage: Eukaryota; Viridiplantae; Streptophyta; Magnoliopsida; Malpighiales; Euphorbiaceae.
GUCACACUGAGAAUUUAUUAUGCAUCACAUUUAAGGUUGCAUUAAUUUCUUGGCGAGGGGUACAAUACCAUCACAAUUGCGAGAGACCAAAGUCUGUUUUAACUCUUUUUGUCUAUUAGAAACCAGUUGCUAAUGUCCAUUGACAAUGAUGCUAUGAUGUGCGCAUGUGUGUUUGAAAUUUGCUCUUUUUAUGUCUACUUAUGCACAUGGUUUACUUGCAGGUCUGCUUUGAGACUUUUGAAGAUAGACCGUGUUAAGAAAUAUGAGUACUGUCUGCCUUGUGAGUUUUAAGCAAUUUUCAACUGUUCACAUUGUUGCGUUUCACAUAGUCCUUUUUGUAGAUUAAAAUGUCGUGAGAAGGAAGAAUGGAAGGAAAAAAUCUAUAUAAAUUAUCAUUUGUGACAUUUAUGGGUCAGAAACAUAAACUCGAAUGAACCAAGUUUGAUUGUUAAGGCAAAGAAUGAUGCAAGGAUAUUUUUUAUCCCUUAGCAUUUAAUAACAUGUUUUUG